GGUGGAGCUUCGGUGUCGUCGCUCUUAUAAGUGGAACAAUUAAACAUAACAGUGAACACGUAUGUUAGUCUAACAUAAAACUUAAAACAGAUAUAGUUUCCUGUUUGCCUGUUUGACUCCCCUGUGCGCUAGGUCAGGGUCCAAUCUUCGUUGCGGGACCCUGGGGACAGGUGAUGCUGAACCGGUCUGGGUUAGCUUAUGAGGGGU
This is a non-coding RNA of Pelobates cultripes (western spadefoot toad), 207 nucleotides long. Lineage: Eukaryota; Metazoa; Chordata; Amphibia; Anura; Pelobatidae. The record is from the annotation of a GenBank genome assembly.